Molecule: long non-coding RNA, 547 nt
Filed under: Ananas comosus (pineapple)
Lineage: Eukaryota; Viridiplantae; Streptophyta; Magnoliopsida; Poales; Bromeliaceae
Description: long non-coding RNA (ACOM_LNC025678)
Source: RNAcentral
UUGGAAAGAACUCAAGGAGACCAAGUGCAAAAGAGAAGAGCUUCAAGUUUAUUGAAGUUAUUUAUGCUUUCAAGGUAAAAAGAUCCUCAUUUAAUCCAUCUAAAAUUUAAAGUUGUAAUUUAUUUCAUUUAUAUUCAGGGCAUGUUUGGUUCAUUUAUUUUAGACUUUGGAAUCGGAAUGGAAUUCAUUGAUUCCGAUAGUUGCCGUUUGUUUUAUAGAAAUCGGAUUCCGAUUCCCAUUCCACUCUGGAAUGGAAAUGGCCAAAUCUAUUUAUGAUUUAAUCUGGCUUUGAAUUCUGGAUUGGCUCAUUCCAAAGUAAACUAUUCAAAAUCCUCUUUCAUCAACACCAACCUCCCCUCCUUCAUCACUUUCCUCUCUCUUAAUCAAAACUCUCUCUCAAAAAUUUUAAAUUUUCAUUCCGAUUUUCAUUCCAAUAAUGAACCAAACAUUUUUGGAUGAUUUGUUUUUUAAUUUUCCAUUUCAAAGCAAUCCAAUUUCAUUUUCCAUUCCUAUUCCAAUCAUGAACUAAACAGGCCCUUAGAAUUGA